Molecule: long non-coding RNA, 343 nt
Filed under: Calidris pygmaea (Spoon-billed sandpiper)
Lineage: Eukaryota; Metazoa; Chordata; Aves; Charadriiformes; Scolopacidae
Description: lncRNA (ENSCPGG00000013830.1)
Source: RNAcentral
AACUUCUGUUUUAUAAUUUGCUGUCUGGUGAAGACUAAUGCAAAAAGCUCGGUUGUUGAUCUGGGAAAGAUUGCUCUGCUGAUGCAAUUGUCCACUCAGCUGGAGUGAGGCCAAUCUCUCAUCACUUCAGCUCUCCUUGAUUGCUUCCUGCCCGAGCUCCGACACAAAAGUUUGUACAGGAAUUUGAAAAGUUAUUAUGAAAUCCCACAGAUCUUCACAAAGAGAAACUUGGCCUUAAUUUUUACUCAGAAAACAGUUACAGUAAAGAUUAUUUUAACAGAAGAGAGGAAAACCCUUGGACUCAGUGCAGCGAAUUGUCCAGUUUAGGAGACGCAACUGAGAG